UGGGGCUCAGCUGGUAGAGUGUUUGCCUAGCAUGCAUGAGGUCCUGGGUUCAAUCCCCAGCA
RNAcentral lists this transfer RNA (62 nucleotides) under Neotoma lepida (desert woodrat). It matches the Rfam family "tRNA", at positions 6 to 65 of the family's 71-position model. From Rfam's summary of the family: Transfer RNA (tRNA) molecules are approximately 80 nucleotides in length. Their secondary structure includes four short double-helical elements and three loops (D, anti-codon, and T loops). Further hydrogen bonds mediate the characteristic L-shaped molecular structure. tRNAs have two regions of fundamental functional importance: the anti-codon, which is responsible for specific mRNA codon recognition, and the 3' end, to which the tRNAs corresponding amino acid is attached (by aminoacyl-tRNA synthetases). tRNAs cope with the degeneracy of the genetic code in two manners: having more than one tRNA (with a specific anti-codon) for a particular amino acid; and 'wobble' base-pairing, i.e. permitting non-standard base-pairing at the 3rd anti-codon position. The record is from Rfam by way of RNAcentral. Lineage: Eukaryota; Metazoa; Chordata; Mammalia; Rodentia; Cricetidae.